Anastrepha ludens (Mexican fruit fly) is the source of this 2118-nucleotide long non-coding RNA. RefSeq lists it as uncharacterized. The record is from RefSeq and is a predicted model, not a curated record. NCBI's taxonomy places the organism in Eukaryota, Metazoa, Arthropoda, Insecta, Diptera, Tephritidae. The transcript has 4 exons.
AUUCGUUACACGAUGAGCGUAUGCACAUACAUAUGUGCAAUAAAAACAAAAAAAAAACGCAAAGAUAGGAGAAAACCAACAGCAAAAAUAAAUAUAGUGGAGUGGGCGGAUUGGGUGGGUUACUGAAGGCGCGCUGUGAUGGCUUGAGUUUUUUUUUUUUACAAAUGAAUUGAGUUGAGUUGGAAAAGACAGUUGCAUUGGUGAUGGAAGAAGAAUCAUUGUAUUUGAUUGCAAAACACUUCCCCCGGUGUAAAAGAAAAAGGAAAGGAGCGCAGAGUAUUGGCAAGAAAUUAAAGAAAGCAAGUGAAUUGCGCAGGAGGAGAGUUGAUGUGAAAUAAAAGGUGAACAAAUGAAUUUUAGCAAUACCAACAGUUAAGAAAAUCAAAGCAACAAUAAUGAUAGCAGUAACAAAAAACAUAGCGAUGGCAUAAGUGUAAAUUUUUUAAAGUCAAAGUAGGAAGGAGAACUGGAAGAGGAAGAGGAGAAAACGGCAGACAGUUAUGGCAAAUACGAUAACGUAUAUUUACCACAUACAACUGUACAUGGGCAAGUAUGCCUGCAUGUAUGCAUGUAUAUACAUGCAUUGGGAAGAUGAACGACAACAGCAAUUGCUGCAACAACAACAGCAACACCAGCAUAUCCCACACAUGGCAGUGCCAACAAAUUGGAAAAGCAUUUAAAAAACUUUUACGAUUGGUGCUUUGAAGCGUUUGAAACGAUUGGGUGGUCUUUGCCACUGUCGUCGUCACUGUCAUCGUUGCUUCGCUUCGUGUACGCUUGUUGUCAAUUUGCUUGCUGUUUCGCUGCCUUCACUAACGGCACCUGCAAUUCCGCUACAAGCACUCACAUGUACUGGGAAAAGUGGGUGCUCGUACUUACAUACAUACAUUCAAACAUACAUUUGCAAGUAUUCUGCAUUGUAUGUCGGUGUGUCUAUUUGUGUACUUCGUUAAUUUUGCUCUUCACUGUUAGCGGGUGGCAGCAGCACACUCGAAUUUUCUUCGUAGUUGUUGGCGGCAACGCCUCAAACUUUUAACCAAAUCAAAGUGGGUGAAGGUUCAUGGCAAGGUGCUUGGCUGUCGAAUAAACGAAAUUAAUGGAAAAUUCUUUACCAAGAAAUCGAGAUUCGUGUACAUGCCACUCCACUUAAAUCUGAUUUAUGAUUGGACUUGGAUUGAAAACUGAAAAGAAUGAGAUAGAAUAUUCAGGUAGACAAUGUUUUAGUAAUGCACUUAACCCUCCGUUGGACACCUUUUUUAAAAUCUUCGAUUGGGCACUUCUGGCCUUUUUCAUCCUGUUCGGUGAUCCUUUUUAAAAGGCAAAUCGAUGAAAAAUUAAAUUGUAGAAAGCUACCUGGAAGCUCAAGUUGUUAGCUACAAUAGAAAUAUGUUAAAUUUGCGUCCAAAGUGCAGAUUCCGGUAUCCAACGGAUGAUUAAAUAGUUUCUGAAUACCGAAUAUUAUGAAACAUUCCGUAAAUGUACAACGAUAUUCAUUUCCUAAGGCGGCCGCCAUAGCCGAAUGGGUUGGUGCGUGACUACCAUUCGGAAUUCGCAGAGAGAGCGUCGGUUCGAAUCUCGGUGAAACACCAAAAUUAAGAAAAAUAUUUUUCUAAAAGCGGUCGCCCCUCGGCAGGCAAUGGCGAACCUUUGAGUGUAUUUCUACGAUGAAAAAGCUCCUCAUAAAAAAUAUCUGUCGUUCGGAGUCGGCUUGAAACUUGUAAGUCCCUCCAUUUGUGGAACAACAUCAAAACGCACACUACAAAUAGGCGGAGGAGCUCGGCCAAACACCCAAAAAGGGUGUACGCGCCAAUUAUAUAUGUAUAUAUAUACAAUAUAUAUAUAUAUAUUCAUUUCCUAGACAAAAUUUCAGUUUCAUGUAUUUAUUUUAAUUAUUUAAAAAUAUGGCAAAUAUUUGUAUAUUUUACAACUGCAUGCCAGCACUUUAAUGUAUAUUUUUGGCAUAUUUUUUAAGGAUAUUGAAAUUAAAUAUGUUACGAUUACCUGCUUUCAUUAGCAAACUGAUAGACAAAAUUGGGCAAAAGUGUUAAGUAAGAUUAAUUUUUAAUCAACCGAAGGCGUUGUUACCAGUGCUAUGCUUAAUAUGCAAUGUAUUUAUUU